ACUAAGGAAACCCAAAAAAAUAAACGAAAGCCCAAACAGAAAUCAACAAUAAACCAAAAUCAAAACAACACAACAGCCCGAAAGAGAUCCAGCAGAACGUCAAAGGGGAGCUCUAGAGUCUUCUCACUCUAGUUGUAUUCCAAUAAAAGAAAACCCCUCUUGAAAGCAACAAAAAACGCAUAGGGAGGAACAACAUAUCAGAUACUUUAAUCAUCCAUCAAAUCCACCCUUUCCAUUAACCCUGAGGCACUUUGGAGAUAACACCCAAAUUGAGAUUGAAACUCACAGCAAAUUCAAUUUCUUCAAAAAGCACUCCCACCUACCUCUUCAUUUCCCCUCUCUCUUGACUCUCUCGCCUCAUCCAUCCACCGUCUAUCUUCAGCCACCACUUCUGCAACGCCAGAAGGGACCAGACUCGACAGAUAAGUAGACUCUCCUUUCUUAAUUCCUUCAGAUGCUAGUAAAUGGGCUACCUUGUUAGCCUCCCUGUUAGUAAAAAGAAAGACACAUAAACUGAAUCUUAAACUCAGUUUCAAAGCAUUGUUGAUAUACACUGAAAUCUACGAUCUGUCAUUCAUCUUCUCUUGCAGCUUCCGAACUACCGACCAAGAGUCUCCCUCAGUCUCCACCUCUCUCAAACCAAGUUGUAACCCAAGAUUCAACGCCUGAACACACGCCACUGCUUCUGCUGCAAAGACGAACAAUAUGUUCGUGUUCAUUACAGUUUUUGAACAAAUGACCCUUGCUUCCUCAUUUCGAAUCACUAACCCAAAGCACAACUCUUUUUUAUGGUUGUUAAAAGCUGCGUCAAAGUUUAUUUUCAACCUCGAUCCCAUCAGCGCAACCCAUCUGUCCACACACACCCUUCUUUCAGAAGGGCAUUCACGAAACAGAUGCUCCCUUAUUUCUGCUCCAGAUUGACACCGUCGACAAGUAGGAAAAGCCAGCAUCCUUCGAUAGUGUAGGUUACUGAAAGUAGGCACAUAUUUAAUUAUUUUAUUUUAUUUUAAAUAUAUUUAAAAUUAUUAAAAUAUUAAUAUAAAAAUAUUAUAUUUUUCAAUAUUAUUAAA
Molecule: long non-coding RNA, 1070 nt
Organism: Gossypium arboreum
Lineage: Eukaryota; Viridiplantae; Streptophyta; Magnoliopsida; Malvales; Malvaceae
Exons: 2
Source: RefSeq, a predicted model, not a curated record